AUUGAACGCUGGCGGCAUGCCUUACACAUGCAAGUCGAACGGCAGCGGGGGAGAAGCUUGCUUUUCCUGCCGGCGAGUGGCGAACGGGUGAGUAAUACAUCGGAACUUGCCCUGGAGUGGGGAUAACUAGUCGAAAGAUUAGCUAAUACCGCAUACGACCUGAGGGUGAAAGUGGUGGACCGCAAGGCCUCAUGCUAUAGGAACGGCCGAUGUCUGAUUUGGUGGUUGGUGGGGUAAAGGCCCAGCAAGGCGACGAUCAGUAGCUGGUCUGAGAGGACGAUCAGCCACACUGGGACUGGGACACGGCCCAGACUCCUACGGGAGGCAGCAGUGGGGAAUUUUGGACAAUGGGCGAAAGACUGAUCCAGCAAUGCCGCGUGUGUGAAGAAGGUCUUCGGGUUGUAAAGCACUUUUGUCCGGAAAGAAAUGGCUCUGCUUAAUACCUGGGGUCGAUGACGGUACCGGAAGAAUAAGGACCGGCUAACUACGUGCCAGCCGCCGCCGUAA
This 507-nucleotide ribosomal RNA is filed under the name uncultured bacterium. RNAcentral's name for it is "partial 16S ribosomal RNA". It matches the Rfam family "Bacterial small subunit ribosomal RNA", at positions 30 to 523 of the family's 1533-position model. The record is from RNAcentral.